ACCCUGCGGGCCGGGUCAGUCCAGCAGAGCCCCUGGUACAAGCCGCUGUUGAUGGCGUUCACCAGCCACGGCCCAAAGCGCAGCUUCUGGGCAUCCCUGCGGGGACACGGGGCCGUCAUCGCGGGGGGCUUGGGGCUCGCAGACCCCUGGCCCGGUGCUGGGCCCCCUGCCCGGCUGCCUCGGUUUGCACGCUAAGGGCAUGAGUGGAGAAAUGGAGCUCCCAGGGUGACGGCUCCCCGCGCAGCCCGAGGACAGUGCGGCCGCACCACCACAAAGCCUCCUGCCACCGCUGCCACCUCGCUUGAUGGAAAUACCAGGGUUUAACACAAAAAAAGAGGGAAAAAAAUAAAUCAGGCCUGAUGCUGUACGUCCCCACGGGGACAUUUCUGAUGCCACCCCAUGAGGGUGCCCACCUUCAGGUGCUGCGGCCCCGCAAGCCCCUGGGAGGGGGACAGAGGCUGGGGGCAAAUUCCCUGUGCUGGAAAGGGGAAGCGGCACCCGGCCGGGCUGCAGCUGGUUUCCAGGCAGUUUUUCCUUGCCAAGAUCAGGCAGUAAGCACCAAAAAGAUCCAGAUCCAGGGCCAGCGCAGGGACAAGGUGACACAGGACAAGGUACAACCAAAAAGGGGCUGUGGCCAAGGGGAAACCCACGCUGGAGCAAUGGGGUUAGGAUGCUCCAGGUGCCACCCCUGCUGUCCCCUGCCCCGGGGACAAGUGUCACCUGCAGCAAGGGUAGCAGAGGCCUGGCUGGGGUGGGCAGAGGUGUGUUGAUCUAAGUGUGUUUGUUUGCUUUUAUUUCUUAAUAUUGGAAAAAAAAAUAGGUUUCUAUUAAUAAGUGACUAAUUGACUGGAAUUCCCCCAGUUUAACCUGUAUUUGGCUUUUGGUUGGUGACAGCCCGCGGGGUUACAGCCGCUGCCACUUCCUGAGCCCCUCAGGUGCCCCCCAGCCCUCACCCCUCUGAAAUGCUGGGUCCCAGGAUGGGGAAAGCAGGGAGGAAAACAGCUCCGAGCUCCCCCAAACUUACACCUGGAUUUGGAAAACCAUAAACGUCAGCCUCUAGGCAAGUGGGAUUUGGGGUAGUUUGUUGCUUUCUGGCAUGAAUCCCACCUCUCUUCCCUAUUUUGGCAAAGCUUGCGCUCCUCCAAAGGAGUGCUCAGAAGCUCAGGCUGACUUCUUUCGAUUUUCCUGUGAGGCACAGGAGGAGCUGGAGGUUUCAGGAGGAGGGAGCAGUUUUACAAAGAGGUUUUUAAAAGCAUCUAAAAGAAGGGGAACUUUCCCUCGACUUCAGCCCUGCACCUGAACCAAGUUUUCCCCCCAGCUGCCAACACUCAGGCAGCACAAGGGGGGUCCCCAGGCCAUCAGCUUC
This is a long non-coding RNA of Cygnus atratus (black swan), 1366 nucleotides long. RefSeq lists it as uncharacterized. The record is from RefSeq and is a predicted model, not a curated record. The transcript has 3 exons. NCBI's taxonomy places the organism in Eukaryota, Metazoa, Chordata, Aves, Anseriformes, Anatidae.